CCCUUAGAUGUUCUGGGCCGCACGCGUGCUACACUGAGUGGAUCAGCGGGUCAGGUUGCGCGAAAGCGUUUCCUAAUCUUUAAAUCCGCUCGUGAUGGGGAUUGACGGUUGCAAUUUUCUGUCAUGAACGAGGAAUACCUUGUAAGCGCGGGUCAUCAUCCCGCGCUGAAUACGUCCCUGCCCUUUGUACACACCGCCCGUCGCACCUACCGAUUGAAUGGUCCGGUGAAAUCUUCGGAUUGAGACUUUGAUUUCUUCACGGAAAACGCUGUUUUAAAAAGUUGAUUAAACCUUACCAUUUAGAGGAAGGUGAAGUCGUAACA
Molecule: ribosomal RNA, 323 nt
Filed under: uncultured eukaryote
Lineage: Eukaryota
Description: partial 18S ribosomal RNA
Rfam family: Eukaryotic small subunit ribosomal RNA
Source: RNAcentral